AAGAAAUUCAACCAAGCG
Molecule: small nuclear RNA, 18 nt
Filed under: Arabidopsis thaliana (thale cress)
Lineage: Eukaryota; Viridiplantae; Streptophyta; Magnoliopsida; Brassicales; Brassicaceae
Description: snRNA_01642
Source: RNAcentral